GCAGCUGUAGCUCAGUUGGUUAGAGCGCCGGAUUGUGGAUCCGGAGGUCGUAGGUUCGACCCCUACCAGCUGUACCA
RNAcentral lists this transfer RNA (77 nucleotides) under Rhodobium orientis. RNAcentral describes it as "tRNA-His". It matches the Rfam family "tRNA". Rfam says of the family: Transfer RNA (tRNA) molecules are approximately 80 nucleotides in length. Their secondary structure includes four short double-helical elements and three loops (D, anti-codon, and T loops). Further hydrogen bonds mediate the characteristic L-shaped molecular structure. tRNAs have two regions of fundamental functional importance: the anti-codon, which is responsible for specific mRNA codon recognition, and the 3' end, to which the tRNAs corresponding amino acid is attached (by aminoacyl-tRNA synthetases). tRNAs cope with the degeneracy of the genetic code in two manners: having more than one tRNA (with a specific anti-codon) for a particular amino acid; and 'wobble' base-pairing, i.e. permitting non-standard base-pairing at the 3rd anti-codon position. RNAcentral also lists the same sequence under 1 other name. The record is from RNAcentral. Lineage: Bacteria; Pseudomonadati; Pseudomonadota; Alphaproteobacteria; Hyphomicrobiales; Rhodobiaceae.